CGAGAGGCCCAAACGUUAUUCGGAAUUACUGGGCUUAAAGAGUUCGUAGGCGGCGCGGAAAGUAGGGUGUGAAAGCCCUCGGCUCAACCGAGGAAUUGCGCUCUAAACUACCGUGCUUGAGGAACCUAGAGGUGAGCAGAACUGAUGGUGGAGCGGUGAAAUGCGUUGAUAUCAUCAGGAAUACCGGAGGCGAAGGCGGCUCACUGGGGGUUUUCUGACGCUGAGGAACGAAAGCCAGGGGAGCGAACGGGAUUAGAUACCCCGGUAGUCCUGGCCGUAAACGAUGAGCACUAGGCCGGAGGUCUGCACAGAUUUCCGGCCGUAGCUAAAGUGUUAAGUGCUCCGCCUGGGGAGUAUGGUCGCAAGGCUG
Molecule: ribosomal RNA, 370 nt
Filed under: uncultured organism
Description: bacterial SSU rRNA
Rfam family: Bacterial small subunit ribosomal RNA
Source: RNAcentral